GUUUCUAAAUAAAAUUUGAUAAAAUAUUUAAUAAUAAGUGUUAAAAAAAGAAUAUUAUUUUAUAAAAACUUUUAAAAAACUGAUAACAAGUGAAAAAAAAAUUUAUUGAAAAAAAAGUUUACCUAGAAACGAUGAAAUGAAAUGUAGAAAUGAAAUAUAUUUCCCUUUAUAGGGUAAGGAUAUGGUCAACAAAAAAUUUGUGAAGAUGUUCCGAUGCCGUUCAAUUCAGAUGAAUGAGUACGUGAAGCUCAAUUAAUGAAUAAGGAAAAAGUACGACAACAUACCAUCUUCUUCAGUGAGUAAUAACUAUCUUAUUAAUCAAAAUUUCUUAAAAAUUAUACUGUUUUAGAAUGAAUAAAUUUAUGUGUAUGUAUGUAUUUAUAAUCAUUGUUAUUAAUAUCCCCUCUAUUAUGUAUAUCGGUAUCGGCCGAUAAACGAUAAUUUAUCGGCAAAAUUUUGUGUUUGUAUUACCAACAUUGUUUAUCGGUAAAUUUUAUCGGAGUCGGGAAAGCUUUUUUUCCCUGUAUAGGAAACGUAUUAGCUGGUAUUAUGAAAACGAUAAAUUGUCGGGUUUUCACCGAUUUAAAAGCGGGUACAAAUUUUUAGACGACAGAUUUUUUUUUUGUAAAAUCUUCAUUUUAUCAAGGAAACUGGUGUAAUUAAUUGCUUUUUUAAAAUGUAAGCAUUUUUUCUAAAUUAUUUUCUUUCAAAAUGUUAUUCAUAUAUUUUAUUUAGGAGUAAAAUCGUAAGCAACAAAAAACAAAUUGCGCGGUUAGUAGAAAAAAUGGAAGAGGACUUAAACCUGGCAAGGAAUGAUAAUCUGAAAUUCUGGAUAAACCUAAAAAAUGUGUACAUAUUAUAUAAAUAAUAAAAUAAAAUAGGUACAUAAACAUACAUUUUGUUGUCUAAAUCCAAUGGAUUAGUUGAAUCUCUUAUAUGUCGUCUUUGAAUAGCUUGCGUUUCUUCACUUUCAAAAUAUAAUGCACGUGACAUUUUCCCGAUAUAUGUAUACUUUUAUUUUACAAAUUUAACAGAAAAUAAUUUUCUUACUACAACUUUUUAGCACAUCAAAACCAAAUUCAAAAUAGUUUUAAAAAUUUUUUGAAAAUAACUUUUGAAAGAAAACAAAUGUCAUUAGAAAAAAAAACAUUUUCUCCAAUUUACAAAAACAAAAAUUUGUAUGAAAAAGCUUCUUUUAAUCGGUUGAAAUAUUUUUAUCGGUAUCGGUUCAUAAUACAGAAGAAACCCAAAACCGAUGAGAACUGCCGAUAAUAUAUCGGCCGAUACCGAUGUUCAUAAUAGAGGGGUGUUUAGAGUUGUUCAGUAAAAUUGUCAAACAAAACUGAUAAUAUAAGAAAUUUUUUAACAAAAUAUGUUCAUUUUUGAAGGUCAUAAAAUAUUGGUAUUAAAAUACUUAUAUUUGCAAUUUUUAAAAUAAAUUUAUUCAAAGAGAAAAAAAAAUAAUGAGUUUUGUUUAAUUUUGUUUUCUAAAAUGAAAAAAUAUUUUGAAAUACUUUUUAGUUUUUACUUUGAAAAAAGUGUUUAACUUAUCCUUCUUGCAUAUUACACAUAUUUUAUAGUAGAGGCCAGAGAAUCCGAGCAAAGAAAGACAAUUAGAAAAAAUUUGACUUCAUUGUUUUUUUCAAGAUGCUCCUUCCUUUAGUGUUUCUAAUUCGUUGAUUAAAAACAUUAAACACGAAUUCAAACUAUCUCCUUAAAAUUAACAGACUACUGCCAAUUUUCUACACCAAAACUCAGCUUUUUGAAAGAGAAAUAAAAAAACUGCACCCAAAAUGAAAAAAUGCCAAUUUCGAAAUCGACAGAAAAUUAUAUAAAAUUUGACAUUUAAAAAUUCGCACAUAUUCACAAGAUGCUCCUUAUUCUGUUACUUAUUAAGAUGAAGCAUAAUACAUAAUUAGUAUUACGAAAAAAAAUCUAUAAUACUCAUAGAUAAGUUUUAUUACUUAGUCAAUAUG
This is a long non-coding RNA of Condylostylus longicornis, 1976 nucleotides long. RefSeq lists it as uncharacterized. The transcript is spliced from 3 exons. The record is from RefSeq and is a predicted model, not a curated record. Lineage: Eukaryota; Metazoa; Arthropoda; Insecta; Diptera; Dolichopodidae.